UGGGGAAUAUUGCACAAUGGAGGGAACUCUGAUGCAGCGACGCCGCGUGAGUGAUGAAGGAAUUCGUUUCGUAAAACUCUGUUCUAUGGGAAGAAAAGGACUGUACCAUAGGAGAAAGCUCCGGCUAAAUACGUGCCAGCAGCCGCGGUAAUACGUAUGGAGCGAGCGUUGUCCGGAAUUAUUGGGCGUAAAGGGUGCGCAGGCGGUAUGGUAAGUCUGUCUUAGAAGUGCGGGGCUUAACCCCGUGAGGGGACAGAGACUGUCAUACUGGAGUCUCGGAGAGGAAAGCGGAAUUCCUAGUGUAGCGGUGAAAUGCGUAGAGAUUAGGAAGAACACCGGUGGCGAAGGCGGCGUUCUGGACGAGCACUGACGCUGAGGCGCGAAAGCGUGGGGAGCGAACAGG
Molecule: ribosomal RNA, 403 nt
Filed under: Fusobacteriota bacterium
Lineage: Bacteria; Fusobacteriati; Fusobacteriota
Description: Fusobacteria bacterium partial 16S ribosomal RNA
Rfam family: Bacterial small subunit ribosomal RNA
Source: RNAcentral